GAGUUUGAUCCUGGCUCAGAAUGAACGUUGGCGGCGUGGAUUAGGCAUGCAAGUCGAGCGAGAACCCAGCAAUGGGGGACAGCGGCGCAAGGGACAGUAAUGUGUAGAUCAUCUGCCCUCAGGUCCGGGAUAGCUGCGGGAAACUGCAGGUAAUACCGGAUAACAUCUCCGGAUCAAAGGUGUGAUUCCGCCUGAGGAUGAGUCUACAUCCUAUUAGCUAGUUGGCAGGGUAACGGCCUACCAAGGCUUUGAUGGGUAGCGGGUGUGAGAGCACGACCCGCGUCAUUGGGACUGAGACACUGCCCAGACACCUACGGGUGGCUGCAGUCGAGAAUCUUCGGCAAUGGGCGCAAGCCUGACCGAGCGACGCCGCGUGCGGGAUGAAGGCCUUCGGGUUGUAAACCGCUGUCAGAGGGGAUGAAAUGCAGGUGGGUUCUCCCAUCUGUUUGACAUAGCCUCAGAGGAAGGACGGGCUAAGUUCGUGCCAGCAGCCGCGGUAAGACGAACCGUCCAAACGUUAUUCGGAAUCACUGGGCUUAAAGGGUGCGUAGGCGGCGCGGAAAGUUGGGUGUGAAAUCCCUCGGCUCAACCGAGGAAUUGCGCCCAAAACUUCCGUGCUCGAGGAAGAUAGAGGUGAGCGGAACUUAGGGUGGAGCGGUGAAAUGCGUUGAUAUCCUAAGGAACACCGGUGGCGAAAGCGGCUCACUGGAUCUUUUCUGACGCUGAGGCACGAAAGCUAGGGUAGCGAACGGGAUUAGAUACCCCGGUAGUCCUAGCCGUAAACGAUGAGCACUGGAUUGGAGGGUCCUCCAUAGCCUUCCAGUCGCAACGAAAGCGUAA
Molecule: ribosomal RNA, 840 nt
Filed under: uncultured Planctomycetaceae bacterium
Lineage: Bacteria; Pseudomonadati; Planctomycetota; Planctomycetia; Planctomycetales; Planctomycetaceae
Description: bacterial SSU rRNA
Rfam family: Bacterial small subunit ribosomal RNA
Source: RNAcentral